CUUCAAGUUGAGAAGAUAUUCAAGCAGAAGUUUAGUGUUAGGAAUGAUGAAAAGUUAUUAAAGGUUUCUCAAUCCUAUUUUAUCAACUACAGCUGGUCUAAUAGUAGGCCUUCUCUUCAUCUCUACCGAUAAGAUUGCUUUCUGCAGUGAGAUUAAUAAAGCUCAUAUCUCCAACAAGAAAGUUGCUUAGAAUCUACUACAAGGUAUCGAUCCCAAUAAGGAAGAUAAUGAAAGCAAAAGAAAGUGAAAAUAGGGAAAAGCCACCACAGAAGAUGAUUUUGAGUUCUGGUUUAUGGGAUUCCUUAAGUAUAUACAAGUACUUAUAGAAGAAGAUAAUUUUUUCUUUUUUUAUUUCAUUUUGUUUCCUAAUAAGCCCAUUCAUCAAUGUAAUAUGUUGAUUCAAAAAUGAAUGUACAGAUCUUUUCGAACUUGUAAUUAGCUCCAUUGCUCAAAGGAAGCUUUAGGCUUUGAGCUGUAGCUGUCAACACAAAUGUAUAAACUUAUUGUAAAACUAAUGCAGUCAGAAGGCUAAUUCACCUUC
Solanum tuberosum (potato) is the source of this 541-nucleotide long non-coding RNA. RefSeq lists it as uncharacterized. NCBI's taxonomy places the organism in Eukaryota, Viridiplantae, Streptophyta, Magnoliopsida, Solanales, Solanaceae. The record is from RefSeq and is a predicted model, not a curated record. The transcript is spliced from 2 exons.